Molecule: ribosomal RNA, 468 nt
Filed under: uncultured bacterium
Lineage: Bacteria
Description: partial 16S ribosomal RNA
Rfam family: Bacterial small subunit ribosomal RNA
Source: RNAcentral
GACGAACGCUGGCGGCGUGCUUAACACAUGCAAGUCGAACGGAAAGGCCCUGCUUUUGUGGGGUGCUCGAGUGGCGAACGGGUGAGUAACACGUGAGUAACCUGCCCUUGACUUUGUGAUAACUUCAGGAAACUGGGGCUAAUACCGGAUAGGAGCUCCUGCUGCAUGGUGGGGGUUGGAGAGUUUCGGCGGUUGGGGAUGGACUCGCGGCUUAUCAGCUUGUUGGUGGGGUAGUGGCUUACCAAGGCUUUGACGGGUAGCCGGCCUGAGAGGGUGACCGGCCACAUUGGGACUGAGAUACGGCCCAGACUCCUACGGGAGGCAGCAGUGGGGAAUAUUGCACAAUGGGCGGAAGCCUGAUGCAGCAACGCCGCGUGCGGGAUGACGGCCUUCGGGUUGUAAACCGCUUUCGCCUGUGACGAAGCGUGAGUGACGGUAAUGGGUAAAGAAGCACCGGCUAACUACGUG